RNAcentral lists this transfer RNA (70 nucleotides) under Mesobacillus zeae. Its description in RNAcentral is "Bacillus zeae tRNA-Arg". It matches the Rfam family "tRNA", at positions 6 to 65 of the family's 71-position model. Rfam says of the family: Transfer RNA (tRNA) molecules are approximately 80 nucleotides in length. Their secondary structure includes four short double-helical elements and three loops (D, anti-codon, and T loops). The record is from RNAcentral. Lineage: Bacteria; Bacillati; Bacillota; Bacilli; Caryophanales; Bacillaceae.
GAGUAGCUCAGCUGGAUAGAGCAACGCCCUUCUAAGGCGUCGGUCGGGAGUUCGAAUCUCUCCUGGGACG